This is a long non-coding RNA of Cyanistes caeruleus (blue tit), 1538 nucleotides long. RefSeq lists it as uncharacterized. NCBI's taxonomy places the organism in Eukaryota, Metazoa, Chordata, Aves, Passeriformes, Paridae. The record is from RefSeq and is a predicted model, not a curated record.
UAAAAACAAAAGGUUAAAAAGGCCAAGUGCUUGGCAUUCUGCCAAGACUACACCUACUGUCUUGGAGAUAUCCUUUAAAUACCUUUGCCAUUACACUAGCCUGUUGCAUAUUCAUAGACCUUCAUGCAAAUUCAAACUUUUCCACUAACUAGUUUACAUUUUCCAGGAACUUUUUAGUAUGGCCACUCCUUGGGUCUGCCUUUUCAGAGCAUGCAUGUUUCUUGGCUUGUGGUUUUAAUCCUCUUCUUAUCACCUUUCAAUAUGAGCCUUGGCUCCUUCUUUCCACAGAGAGUAAGAAGCAGGGUCCCCAGUAUCUGUUCAUUGGGUGUUAUCUCAACCAAGCAGACAGUACAAGCAUACUAUAUAAACUAUUACUACUAUGCCUAAAUUUUUGCUAAUAGCAGAAAUAAAGACUGUAUUCAUACAGCAAAGUCAUUUUAACAUUAUAUAUAUAACAUUCAUCCUAAUACUUGUGGAAAGCCAAUAUUAUACUAUGCAUCUAUAACAACCUCACCAAAGACCAAGGAAAGAAGCAAAAGUGCAGUACCUUACUCUCCCCUGACUGCUCCGAGGUUAUGAAGAGAGCCUGUUUAAGGAGGGAACAGUCAAGCUGCUCCUAUCGCUUCCACUAUGGUGUCCAGCCCAUUACUCUUUUCACCUACCACAAGUGAGACUUUUGCUGAUACAAGCAGCCACUGAACUGGGACCAUAUGAAGACCCUACUUCACUAGAAAGAGCCCUCACCAUCUACUCGGCUGCCUCAGGGGAAAUCCCGGGAUCCCCAAGACCCCUCUGCCUCCUGCUGGCUGUGAGCGGAACUGCACCAACAGGGAAAGUGGCCGCGAGAAGGCCGGGACCGGGUCUGUGGUUCUGGCUGGGACCGGGUCUGAGGUUCUGGCUGGGACCGGGUCUGAGGUUCUGGCCGGGACCGGGUCUGAGGUUCUGGCUGGGACCGGGGCUGUGAUUCUGGCCGGGACCGGGUCUGAGGUUCUGGCUGGGACCGGGUCUGUGGUUCUGGCUGGGACCGGGGCUGAGGUUCUGGCCGGGACCGGGUCUGAGGUUUUGGCUGUCACGGGGUCUGUGGUUCUGGCUGGUACCGGGUCUGUGGUUCUGUUUGUUGUUGCUGCCAUUGUUGUUUGUUUGCCUUGUUAUAGACAUAUACAUAUUGUUAAAGAACUGUUAUUCCUUUUCCCAUAUUUUUGCCCAAAAGCCCCGUAAUUUCAAAGUUAUAAUUUGAAGGGAAGGGGGUCAUAUACUCUAUCCCAAAGACAUUCCUGCCUUCCUUGGCAGACACCUGUCUUUCAAACCAAGACAUAGCACAUGCUAAAAAGAGCCCUGUCUGUAACACAGGAGCCACAGAGAAGCUUCCUGCAGUACAGCUCAUUCACAGUGUUCCCCAGGUGCAGGAGGAGGUGUAUGGUAGCAUACACCAGGCUUCAGGGUAUCAUUACCUAUGUGUCUCACCCUCACUGGCUCCCCAGGAUUCAAGAAUUCUUCCAAACUAUUAGGAAAAUAAAUUUAUUGGCAGUUGAAUACCG